UUUCACUUCCUAAUUACCUCUCUUCCUUCUUCUCUAUUUUUUUUCAAAAUUUUCCAAAAUUUCUCCCCAAAAGAAUCUCACUGAUUCAGGUUAAGGAAAAGCACCAAAUUCAUCGAUUUCAGUUAGGAAUUUUAAAAAGGAAAAGCACCAAAAUUCACUUCAAUGUCAGAUUCGAAGAGGGGUUACAAGAGGUAUCAAAUUUUUGGAGAUUUUCCCUCUUUUGAUCUUUGCAUUACUCAAGGAUUGAUCGAAAAUAUAGGGGUUGCGUCUAAAAUAGCCGAAGAGAGCAGAUCGAAGUUUAUUCAUGAUCCAAUCCUCAUGCAAAAUCUUCAACCUUCAACUGAAGCAGAAUAUAUGGUUGAUGAUCAAAUUGGGGAUGAACAAAUUCAUGAACAUCAAAUUGAUGAAGAGAUAUUUACUCUUAUAUGCCAUGUCAUGUGCAAAUUUAAUUUAUUUUUAUAUUUAUAAGUUUCACUGAAUGUUGUAUUCAUACCGCAUUGAUAUUGUUUUUUUGUAUCCAGCUUAUUGAAAUACAAGUUUGCUUUGUUAAUGUA
Long non-coding RNA from Solanum dulcamara, 554 nucleotides. RefSeq lists it as uncharacterized. The record is from RefSeq and is a predicted model, not a curated record. The transcript is spliced from 2 exons. Lineage: Eukaryota; Viridiplantae; Streptophyta; Magnoliopsida; Solanales; Solanaceae.